AUUGAAUGCAUGUGGGGUUAGAAUUGAAGGAUUAGAGAUGUCCUGGAAGGCUGGCCUUUCUGUGAUGAUAAAAAUGGGGAGAUAACGCUUGCUUGGUUGCAGGGCAGAUAGUGGAGAAAACACAAUCCGUUCAGGGCAGAACAAUUGGGAGGAGGGCGUCCUGACAAGAACUGGGAGUCUGGGAGACCUGCCAAGAGUUCAGAGAUCAGGGCAGUUACUGAACUCCUCUUAGGACCUACAGGGGGACAGUCUGUCUCUGCGCAUAAGGGCCCUUUCAACAGAUUAGAUGUCUGUCCAUCUGUCUACUGGUAUGUCAUAUUCCAGUAGAAUCAACAUUUAGAAGAACCUCCUUGAGAUCAAAAGAAGUCACAACCACUCCUAGGUCCUGCUGUUGUUCCUGCUGCUGCCCUCAUAUUCUAGUCAGUGUGGACACACAAACAGGCAAGUGGAUACGCAGAAAAACUAGCUGAAGGAAAUAUAAAUGGAGCUGCUACCUUAAUCAUGGUGGUAAAGGAAAUUUAAUGAUCUUACCCUCAAAAUGUAUUUUUUGACAUAUUUUGAAAUGGCUGCCACUUGGCUAGCAAACAAAAGUGGCCCUGCAAAGCUGUCUUUUGUGGGGAAAAUUUGGAUCUGUAGAGAAUUUCCUUCAAUGCAGCCAGGCUGCCUCCCUUUCCUGUGCUUUUCCAGAUCCUGAAGAAACUGGAGAGUCUGACACCUUUAAAGUAUGAAGAGAAACAUUUACCCUCUAUUCUAAGGGAAGCUUCAUCUACAUAACAAGGUCACAUUUGCUAGUCAAGCUUCUUUCUCUCUCUCAUAACCUGUCUUUUCACUAAGCCUGAUUUACCAAUAUAACCAGUUUCUGGCCAUGUUCUGAGUCUGUAUUCUUUACUGUGGCCUCAAGAUGGUAUAUACAUUUCUGUAACUCAUUGGGAAGCUGGUCUUCAUUCUUAAGGCUCCCACGUAUAGAAGUUAAAUAAAUGUUUAUGUCUCUU
Molecule: long non-coding RNA, 992 nt
Filed under: Homo sapiens (human)
Lineage: Eukaryota; Metazoa; Chordata; Mammalia; Primates; Hominidae
Description: HSALNT0039141
Source: RNAcentral